UUGAAAAAGAAAGUAUACUAUGUGGUUAUCUCAUGAUAACCUCAUGAGCCUGGCCUGACAUCUCAGCUGUCCUUUGACCCCUGCAGCCAUUGCAACAGAAACCACCUGGCUGCCCGCAGGUGAGAACUGGCAGCCCCCUGCUGCAGCUCCUUCCGGCGCUUCUCCUUUUCUGCCCUGAAAAUGUCUCCUUGGCACUCAGGACUGCCUGCCUAGUGACCCACCACUUGCCAUCUGGCGGAAGAUUCUGGCUGCGGAGCGAUGAAGAUGAUGGGCUGCAGACUCAUGUAUUGGGAACUCCAUCUUCGACCAAUGAUCAAUGUAAUUGAGUUCCUUUUUUGAAGUGAAUAAGCAGACACACUCAUCAAAGAACAAGAGAUGACACAGACACAGGAGAAGCCCGUGUGAAGACAGAGGUGGAGACUGGAGUGAUGUGUUUACGAACCAAAGACUGCCCGAGGAUUGCUGGCAGCCCCAGAAGCAAAGAGAAAGGCGUGGGACAGAUUCUCUCCUAGACGCUUCUGAGGGAGCAUCACCCUGCCUGGCUCCUUGGACUGCAGACUUCUGGCCUGCAGAACUGUGAAAGAAUUCACUUCUGUUGUUUGAAGCCCCCCAGUGCUUGUUGCAGUCGUGCAUGUUGUAGCAGCCCUAGGAAACAAAUAUAGUUGGGUUUCCUCCAAUCAGGUUGGUGUGGGAGUGAGUCGUUAAGGAAAUGCUCCCCUGAGACCAUUAACGGAGGGGUGAGGAGAGCAGACCCGGGAGAGGACGCAGAGCGCUUGGCUCAGUUCCACAGGCAGUGAUGUCACCUGGCCCCUGGGGGACUCUGGGUUGUAAACGAUGCCCACGGGUGAGCUCACCCUAGACAAGGGGGCCAGAGUUCCUGUACCAGCACCCUACCAGUCACAGGUUACAGACCACCCCCAAGGGACUUCACCUGCAGGCAAGUGGGAUCCAGGAACUACAAGGGAGUUCUCCAUAAAAGCCCAGCCCAUGUUGCUUGUUGAAAUCAAAAGCACCCCCAAAGAGGGGAAGAAAAAAAAUGGUAAACAGGAAUUCCAAGGGAUCCAGGAAGAGCAACAGCAUCAUCCAACCUGUCGAAUUAUCUGCCCGUGGUAUCUGGAGUCCAGGAGGCCGGGUGCUGAUGUCUGCUCCUGCUAUCCACUUGGGUAACUUUGGGGCAUACAUUUGCAUCUUGGAUCUUAGUCGACGUCACUGUUAAAGGGAGAUAAUGUUAAUGCUUUUACAUUUGUUUUUUCAUAAAAUGUUUGCUCUUUGGGGUUGAUAUUCAGAUGGUAUAACUAUAUAUUGUUUGCUAAAACAUAAAUGGUUCUGUAUUGGGGGAUAAAUAGCCACUCCCCUUACUACUUUGGUCCCCUCCCUCAAACCCCUUGCAUUUCCCUACAACCCAGCAAUGAAAAUGCUGGGCACAGCUGGGCAUCUCCCUAACAUUAGGGCCCGUGUUGUUUCCAAUUAGUUGGCUGUUAAAGAUUUUGACUGUCAUCCCCAGAUCAAGCAUGUGCUAUGUGUCUAAUCCAGUGAUCACAACUGUGAGGGACAGAAAAGAAUUAGACCAUCUCUGCCUUCAAAAAGUUUAAACUUGGGGUGCCUGCCUGGCU
Callorhinus ursinus (northern fur seal) is the source of this 1613-nucleotide non-coding RNA. Lineage: Eukaryota; Metazoa; Chordata; Mammalia; Carnivora; Otariidae. The record is from RefSeq and is a predicted model, not a curated record.